RNAcentral lists this ribosomal RNA (465 nucleotides) under Vreelandella stevensii. RNAcentral's name for it is "partial 16S ribosomal RNA". It matches the Rfam family "Bacterial small subunit ribosomal RNA", at positions 338 to 795 of the family's 1533-position model. Lineage: Bacteria; Pseudomonadati; Pseudomonadota; Gammaproteobacteria; Oceanospirillales; Halomonadaceae. The record is from RNAcentral.
UCUACGGGUGGCAGCAGUGGGGAAUAUUGGACAAUGGGGGCAACCCUGAUCCAGCCAUGCCGCGUGUGUGAAGAAGGCCCUCGGGUUGUAAAGCACUUUCAGUGAGGAAGAACGCCUGGUGGUUAAUACCCAUCAGGAAAGACAUCACUCACAGAAGAAGCACCGGCUAACUCCGUGCCAGCAGCCGCGGUAAUACGGAGGGUGCGAGCGUUAAUCGGAAUUACUGGGCGUAAAGCGCGCGUAGGUGGCUUGAUAAGCCGGUUGUGAAAGCCCCGGGCUCAACCUGGGAACGGCAUCCGGAACUGUCAAGCUAGAGUGCAGGAGAGGAAGGUAGAAUUCCCGGUGUAGCGGUGAAAUGCGUAGAGAUCGGGAGGAAUACCAGUGGCGAAGGCGGCCUUCUGGACUGACACUGACACUGAGGUGCGAAAGCGUGGGUAGCAAACAGGAUUAGAUACCCUAGUAGUC